UGGGGAAUAUUGGACAAUGGGCGCAAGCCUGAUCCAGCCAUGCCGCGUGAGUGAUGAAGGCCCUAGGGUUGUAAAGCUCUUUCACCGGUGAAGAUAAUGACGGUAACCGGAGAAGAAGCCCCGGCUAACUUCGUGCCAGCAGCCGCGGUAAUACGAAGGGGGCUAGCGUUGUUCGGAUUUACUGGGCGUAAAGCGCACGUAGGCGGACUAUUAAGUCAGGGGUGAAAUCCCGGGGCUCAACCCCGGAACUGCCUUUGAUACUGGCAGUCUUGAGUUCGAGAGAGGUGAGUGGAAUUCCGAGUGUAGAGGUGAAAUUCGUAGAUAUUCGGAGGAACACCAGUGGCGAAGGCGGCUCACUGGCUCGAUACUGACGCUGAGGUGCGAAAGCGUGGGGAGCAAACAGG
This 404-nucleotide ribosomal RNA is filed under the name Actinomycetes bacterium. Its description in RNAcentral is "Actinobacteria bacterium partial 16S ribosomal RNA". It matches the Rfam family "Bacterial small subunit ribosomal RNA", at positions 355 to 776 of the family's 1533-position model. Lineage: Bacteria; Bacillati; Actinomycetota; Actinomycetes. The record is from RNAcentral.